RNAcentral lists this ribosomal RNA (395 nucleotides) under uncultured bacterium. RNAcentral describes it as "bacterial SSU rRNA". It matches the Rfam family "Bacterial small subunit ribosomal RNA", at positions 32 to 407 of the family's 1533-position model. The record is from RNAcentral.
AAUCAACGCUGGCGGCGUGCCUCAGACAUGCAAGUCGAACGCGAAAUUUCCCUUCGGGGAGAAAGUAGAGUGGCGCACGGGUGAGUAACACGUAGGUAAUUUGCCUUUGGGUGGGGAAUAACUCAGGGAAACUUGAGCUAAUACCGCAUAAUGCAGCGGCUCGACAUCGAGACAGUUGUUAAAGCGGGGGAUCGCAAGACCUCGCGCCUAAAGAGAAGCCUGCGGCAGAUUAGCAGUUGGUAGGGUAAUGGCCUACCAAGGCAACGAUCUGUAACCGGCCUGAGAGGGCGGUCGGUCACACUGACACUGACAUACGGGUCAGACUCCUACGGGAGGCAGCAGUCGGGAAUUUUGGGCAAUGGGCGAAAGCCUGACCCAGCAACGCCGCGUGAAGG